GGCCUCUUCGUCUAAUGGUUAGGACAUUGCCUUCUCAAGGCAAGAACAGGGAUUCGACUUCCCUAGAGGUCA
Molecule: transfer RNA, 72 nt
Filed under: Candidatus Zambryskibacteria bacterium RIFCSPHIGHO2_02_39_10
Lineage: Bacteria; Candidatus Zambryskiibacteriota
Also listed under: 3 other names
Description: tRNA-Glu
Rfam family: tRNA
About the family: Transfer RNA (tRNA) molecules are approximately 80 nucleotides in length. Their secondary structure includes four short double-helical elements and three loops (D, anti-codon, and T loops). Further hydrogen bonds mediate the characteristic L-shaped molecular structure. tRNAs have two regions of fundamental functional importance: the anti-codon, which is responsible for specific mRNA codon recognition, and the 3' end, to which the tRNAs corresponding amino acid is attached (by aminoacyl-tRNA synthetases). tRNAs cope with the degeneracy of the genetic code in two manners: having more than one tRNA (with a specific anti-codon) for a particular amino acid; and 'wobble' base-pairing, i.e. permitting non-standard base-pairing at the 3rd anti-codon position.
Source: RNAcentral